RNAcentral lists this ribosomal RNA (382 nucleotides) under uncultured bacterium. RNAcentral's name for it is "bacterial SSU rRNA". It matches the Rfam family "Bacterial small subunit ribosomal RNA", at positions 30 to 414 of the family's 1533-position model. The record is from RNAcentral.
AUUGAACGCUGGCGGCAUGCCUUACACAUGCAAGUCGAACGGCAGCGGACCUUCGGGUGCCGGCGAGUGGCGAACGGGUGAGUAAUAUAUCGGAACGUACCUUUCAGUGGGGGAUAACGUAGCGAAAGUUACGCUAAUACCGCAUAUUCUGUGAGCAGGAAAGCAGGGGAUCGCAAGACCUUGCGCUGACUGAGCGGCCGAUAUCAGAUUAGCUAGUUGGUGAGGUAAAGGCUCACCAAGGCGACGAUCUGUAGCGGGUCUGAGAGGAUGAUCCGCCACACUGGAACUGAGACACGGUCCAGACUCCUACGGGAGGCAGCAGUGGGGAAUUUUGGACAAUGGGCGCAAGCCUGAUCCAGCCAUGCCGCGUGAGUGAAGAAGG